GACGAACGCUGGCGGCGUGCUUAACACAUGCAAGUCGAACGGAAAGGCCCUGCUUUUGUGGGGUGCUCGAGUGGCGAACGGGUGAGUAACACGUGAGUAACCUGCCCUUGACUUUGGGAUAACUUCAGGAAACUGGGGCUAAUACCGGAUAGGAGCUCCUGCUGCAUGGUGGGGGUUGGAAAGUUUCGGCGGUUGGGGAUGGACUCGCGGCUUAUCAGCUUGUUGGUGGGGUAGUGGCUUACCAAGGCUUUGACGGGUAGCCGGCCUGAGAGGGUGACCGGCCACAUUGGGACUGAGAUACGGCCCAGACUCCUACGGGAGGCAGCAGUGGGGAAUAUUGCACAAUGGGCGGAAGCCUGAUGCAGCAACGCCGCGUGCGGGAUGACGGCCUUCGGGUUGGUAACCGCUUUCGCCUGUGACGAAGCGUGAGUGACGGUAAUGGGUAAAGAAGCACCGGCUAACUACGUG
RNAcentral lists this ribosomal RNA (468 nucleotides) under uncultured bacterium. RNAcentral's name for it is "partial 16S ribosomal RNA". It matches the Rfam family "Bacterial small subunit ribosomal RNA", at positions 28 to 507 of the family's 1533-position model. The record is from RNAcentral.